RNA transcript from Salvelinus namaycush (lake trout), 2982 nucleotides. It is a transcript of the gene named NEDD4-binding protein 2-like 2, with no coding region annotated. The transcript is spliced from 10 exons. NCBI's taxonomy places the organism in Eukaryota, Metazoa, Chordata, Actinopteri, Salmoniformes, Salmonidae. The record is from RefSeq and is a predicted model, not a curated record.
GUCAGACUUCCUGUUAACUUCCGUAAACAAAAUGCUAGUUAGCUAAUCCAAAAUUAUGAACAUAAUAACAUGUAAUGCUUCAAGUUGAUCACUUUAUGCAUGUUGAUUCAAAGGAUUUCCCCCCACCAUCUCGAUGUCUCAUGGAAAUGCCAACUCGUUAACUUCUCUCACUGGAAGAAAUGGAGAACUACUGGAGUGUUCAAAAGCGGAGACAAAUGGAGCCUCUGCAACAGACAGAGUGCUGCCAGUGAGAAUUGAUGGAGGUCCUGGUGUAAGAGCCCGAGAGCCAGUUAAAAAAAAGCUGGGUACCAGCAGCACUGCCUUCAUUGGACCUGUAUGCUGUCCUCCUAAGGCAGUCCAGAGAGCUCCCAAACCACCAAAAGUAAGGAAACUUGCCAAACCUAACAUUGAAGAGACACUGAGUGAGUUCUACAAAGAGCUUGAGGAGAUUGAUCCAAAAGACAGCGUUGACAGUAGCACGGCCAAAAAUGAAGGCUCAGUUGAAUUACUCACCGCUCAUAACCCACCACCUGCAAGAGAAGGGUCAAAUGCAAGCCAUGGCCAUAAGCAACCGAAUCACGUGCCUUGCCCACACUGGUAUGACACCGAGCCAUACCAGCCCAGGAGACCGAUACCUAGGGGGCCCAGCUAUGGUCCCUACUCAGAUCAUAAUCACUGGCAACCUCCCCCACCUUUCCACAGUCAGCCAUACUACAGGUUCCACAGACCUCCCCACCGCUUCCCGCCACCACCUCCGAUCCCCUGCCUCCCGCCACCACCUCCCGCAGACCACCGGUAUCACCCCCAACGAGAGGGCUCCCAGCAGGUCCCACCUUUUCACAGGUUCCCUGUCCCUGAUGGGUACAGGAACUCUCCAGACUUGGAUGGCCAUGGCUUUCCCCCACAGCACUCUAACAACAGAGACAGAGGGGGCUACGGUUGGAGAGAUGACAAGUAUGACCAGCAGGGUAAUGACCAGCAAGGUUCUUCUGAAUGGCAGCAGAGGUUUGACCAAGGACCUGAGCCACCUCAGCCAGAGGAUCAGCACCAACCACCAGAAGAUAAAACAUAUGACUAUGAUCCUUCUCUGGUUCUCAUUCUGAUGAGGGGAGCCCCGGGAUCUGGGAAAUCAACACUGGCCAGGGAACUGCUGUCGACAGGCUCCAGCGGGCAGGUUCUGAGUACAGAUGACUACUUCUCCCAGGAAGAAGGCUACACCUACGAUCCCAGUCUGCUGGGGGCCGCACACCACUGGAACCAGAACCGAGCCCAAGAAGCCAUGUAUAAAUGCUGUUCUCCUGUCAUUAUUGAUAACACAAAUAUGCAAGCUUGGGAAAUGAAGCCAUAUGUUAAACUGGCCUUGGAGAGAGGAUACAGUAUCAACUUUCAUGAGCCUCACACCAGCUGGAAAUUUGAUCCCGUCGAGUUAGAGAACUAGCAGCCAAUGGAGAGCAUGGCUCACUCAAAGGGUCGGGCCACAGAUGACAAGAUCACCUAUUCGCCCGGGGUGAAGGAGAUCUCGGACAAGAUCUCCUUGGAGGAGUUGGUCCGCAGGCUCAAGGAUCGACAGUGCCGAGGUGGACCACAGUGAGAACGAGGAUAUCACGGUCAUGAAGAGUCUGGCUGCUCAGGACGACGACAGCAAGCCCGGCCCGGGGACGCAAACGAGGGGCAGCCGCUGCCAGCCAGGACGACAAGGCAGGCCAGGAGGCCAAGCCCAAACAAGGGUGGAGGAAGGAGCCGGCGGCUAACACCAGCAUGGGCGUGGGGGAGGAGCCGUGGGCCGAGACCAAUGCCGCAGACACCACCCUGGAGACGAAAGACGAGCAGAACAAUCCUCCCAAAAGAGGUCGCAGGAGACGGCCCCCCAAGGCUGCUGCGCCCAAUAAUGACAGACUUACCAAGGGCAUGAGGGGCCGGAAGAAGGCUGCUUGUCAAGCUGAGGAGGAAGAUGGCAGCAGUGAGAACAUGGAAGUGAAGCCCACGGUGCAGAGAGGAGGCAGGGCACCACGGAGGCCGCAGCAGAGACUGGAGGCCUCAGAGGCCACAGACGACUCUGCAGAAUCCAUGCCACAGAAAAGACGGGGGAGACCUCCCAAAGCACAGCAACAUUCAGCCAAGAAAAAUCUGCAACUGUGGCAUUUUCUUCAACUUCAUUCAUUAUCCUUUAUAUUUUGAAUUAAUUCAGUGCCUUGCAUGAGUUACAGACUUGCUGUUUGCAGGUUUUUGUUUUGUUUUGUUUUGACUUCAAUGUCAACCCUGUUACUCAGUGAGGAGCAGGCUGUUGUUUUGCUGUUGUACAAUGACCUGCUGUGUGUUUCAGGCACACAGGGCGUUUGAGUAAAGAGAACGAGUCCUAGGUGGAGGAGAUGGAGAUGUCUCAGAGCCAGGAAGAGGAGGAGAGCAAGACAACACCCAAAGUGCGACGGAAGACGGGCAGGAGAAGAUGAGACAGACAUCGUGUUUUUUCUCGAAGGUCAGAGGACGAGAACAGAUGGAGAGUACAUCGAUCUGCCUAGGCUGUGUGUAUUCGUCCUUGAUGUUCAGUUGUUAAGCUUUGCCACACACACAUCCACCUUGGUUUGUCUAACAUUGUUAUGUGUGUCGCCGACCACAGGAACGAUCCAAACUGAUUCAAAUAAAUGUAUGUAGUCUUUCUUGCCUUUUUUCCCCCCUGUGCUGGGGAGGCAGUUGUAUAGCUUAUAUCUCCCAGCUUUAAGAUAUCGCACCAGCUCUAACUGUCAAAGUGAAUGUUUGGAAUAAACUUUUAGCAGUACUGUAUCGGUCAUUUUUCAGUAUUUUUCGUUCUGUGACAAGGAAAUAGUGUUGUAGAUUUGAUUUGUUAAGUUAAUUUUUUAAGUCGUUUUUGUUCAUUCGUUUGUUUACUCCUGUUUGCAUUUUAUUGUGCAUGUGCAAAGGUGCCUCUGCAGACGAAGAAAAAAACAAGUGACAAAUCCAAGAUUAAAUCAAGUAUUUGGUCCA